Molecule: long non-coding RNA, 870 nt
Filed under: Gallus gallus (chicken)
Lineage: Eukaryota; Metazoa; Chordata; Aves; Galliformes; Phasianidae
Description: long non-coding RNA NONGGAT008764
Source: RNAcentral
UUCAGUGUGUGCAUGUCUUAGUCUACUUUUGGCACUAUGUAGUUCAGGUUAUGUGCUCUUCUCUGCUAGGUUCAGGCACCCAAGUACGUGCUUAUGUGAGUGGGAGUACAACGUACCUACGCCUACCUACGUGUGCUUACCUACAGACAUUUUUAUUUUCAAUGUUCUGAUUCCAGCGGCCUUUUCAAGAGACAAAAGAAAGUUAAAAUUAGAGCCUAAAAACAAUGGAUUUGCAGCAGCCAGCACAAUGCCAGUCUGCACUGUUGUGAAAGACCUGUGCAUAAACAUUCAUAGGGAUGAAUUCAGAGGUGAUGGGCAACACAGACUGAGGAAAAGGAGCCCAGAGAGUAGGUAAUAAUAAAGAAAAUCAUGAAAAGAGGAAACAGAGGAGGAAAAGCAGCUAAGUGAAAGGUAUGUAACACCUAAUCUAAAGCACAUUUCUCUCUCCUUCAGCGCACACAAAACUUUUACCGGUUCCUUUUUAUGGUUAUUGAAUGCCCACAUUACCUGAAAGUGGAAUUUAUUGUGCUGAGUGUUAAACUCUAAGUUUUACAAAUAAGCUUCCGUACAAAAAUAUUUAUUAUCUGUAACGUACAUCAUCAGCUCUUACACUCCCACUGCGUUCAUCCAUUGUCUCCCAAUACAGUUACCGUGAACGUAUGUCAGAAUAUACGUCAGCCUCAGAAAUACACACUUGUACUGCAGUGACUAUUUUCUAUUCCUUAUUUCUUUGCCUCUAUUUUAAACAACGGAUGCGUACGUUUGCUUAGAACCUAGCUUCUGAAACAGAAGGACAGAAUUACUGGUUCUGACAGCUGUGAAAACAUUUCCAUAAUACAGAAAAUCUAAAUGCCUCUUCAUUCAAUCACU